GGCCUCGGAGGGGCGGAGCCGCCGCUGUUGCUGCCGCUGCCGCCGCAGCCCCGGUUGGGAUUUGAAAGAUUAAAAACUACCGGUGGAGAGGGCGACGGCGUUGAAUGUGUGGCGGAAGCGCUGGGGGCCGCGGCUCGGCGCGGGGCCGGGCAGCCGGCGGCGUCUCCACACCAUGAAUUACCCGGGCCGCGGGUCUCCGCGGAGCCCUGAGCAUAACGGCCGGGGCGGCGGCAACGCAGCCUGGGAGCUGGGCUCAGAUGCGGAGCCGGCGUUCGGCGGCGGCGUGUGCUGCUUCGACCACCUGCCCGGCGGGGACCCGGGCGACGGCGAGGUGCCCCUGGCCCUGCUGCGCGGAGAGCCCGGGCUGCACUUGGCGCCGGGCGCGGAGGACCACAACCACCACCUGACGCUCGACUCCUGUCUCAGUGAUGAGACCUACGACUUCAGCUCCGCGGAGUCCGGUUCUUCGCUGCGCUACUACAGCGAAGGCGAGAGUGGCGGCGGCGGCAGUUCCUCGUCGCUGCACCCGCCGCCCCAGCCGCCGCUGGUCCCGUCGAGCGCUGGGGGCAGCGGGGCGGCGGGAGGAGGGCUCGGGGAGAGGAAGCGCACCCGGCCUGGCGGCGCGGCCGCCCGGCAUCGCUACGAGGUAGUGACCGAGCUUGGCCCGGAGGAGGUUCGCUGGUUCUACAAGGAGGACAAGAAGACCUGGAAGCCCUUCAUCGGCUAUGACUCGCUCCGCAUCGAGCUCGCUUUCCGAACGCUGCUGCAGGCCACGGGUGGCCUGCCCCGGGCCGGGGACCCGGACGGCAACCCUGUGUGCGGCCCAGCCUCCAGCUCGGGGGAGGACGACGAUGAGGACCGCGUCUGCGGCUUCUGCCCGCGCGGCGCGGGGCACGAGCCCGAGAUGGAGGAGCUGGUGAACAUCGAGCGGGUGUGUGUGCGGGGCGGCCUGUACGAGGUGGAUGUGACCCAAGGAGAGUGCUACCCGGUGUACUGGAACCAGGCUGAUAAAAUACCAGUAAUGCGUGGACAGUGGUUUAUUGAUGGCACUUGGCAGCCUCUAGAAGAAGAAGAAAGUAAUUUAAUUGAGCAAGAACAUCUCAGCUGUUUUAGAGGUCAGCAGAUGCAGGAAAAUUUUGAUAUUGAAGUGUCAAAAUCCAUAGAUGGAAAAGAUGUUGUCUACCACCUCCCUCCCUUCUCCCUCCCUUCUCUGUUCAAAUGGAGAGGAUAUAAGGAGAGUACAGAUGCGGCAGGUCUUAAGCGAAAGCGUUCUCAAGCUAUUCAUAGUUUCAAGUUGAGUAGAAAUCAUGUGGACUGGCACAGUGUGGAUGAAGUGUAUCUUUACAGUGAUGCAACAACUUCUAAAAUUGCAAGGACAGUUACCCAAAAACUGGGAUUUUCUAAAGCAUCAAGUAGUGGGACUAGACUUCAUAGAGGUUAUGUAGAAGAAGCCACAUUAGAAGACAAGCCAUCACAGACUACUCAUAUUGUAUUUGUUGUGCACGGCAUUGGACAGAAAAUGGACCAAGGAAGAAUUAUCAAAAAUACGGCCAUGAUGAGAGAAGCUGCAAGAAAAAUAGAAGAAAGGCAUUUUUCCAACCAUGCAACACAUGUUGAAUUUCUGCCUGUUGAGUGGCGGUCAAAACUUACUCUUGAUGGAGACACUGUUGAUUCCAUUACUCCUGACAAAGUACGCGGUUUAAGGGAUAUGUUGAACAGCAGUGCAAUGGACAUAAUGUAUUAUACUAGCCCACUUUAUAGAGAUGAACUAGUUAAAGGCCUUCAGCAAGAGCUGAACCGAUUAUAUUCCCUUUUCUGUUCUCGGAAUCCAGACUUUGAAGAAAAAGGGGGUAAAGUCUCAAUAGUGUCACAUUCCUUGGGAUGUGUAAUCACUUAUGACAUAAUGACUGGCUGGAAUCCAGUUCGACUCUAUGAACAGUUGCUACAGAAGGAAGAAGAGUUGCCUGAUGAACGAUGGAUGAGCUAUGAAGAACGACAUCUACUGGAUGAACUCUAUAUAACAAAGCGACGACUGAGAGAAAUAGAAGAACGGCUACAUGGAUUGAAGGCGUCAUCCAUGACACAAACACCUGCCUUAAAAUUUAAGGUUGAGAAUUUCUUCUGCAUGGGAUCCCCAUUAGCGGUUUUCUUGGCAUUGCGUGGCAUCCGCCCAGGAAACACUGGAAGUCAAGACCAUAUUUUGCCCAGAGAGAUUUGUAAUCGGUUACUGAAUAUUUUUCAUCCAACAGAUCCAGUGGCUUAUAGAUUAGAACCAUUAAUACUGAAACACUACAGCAACAUUUCACCUGUCCAGAUCCACUGGUAUAAUACUUCUAAUCCUCUACCUUAUGAGCAUAUGAAGCCAAGCUUUCUCCACCCAGCAAAAGAACCUACCUCAAUUUCAGAGAAUGAAGGCAUUUCAACAAUACCAAGCCCUGUGACCUCACCAGUCUUGUCCCGUCGACACUACGGGGAAUCUAUAACAAACAUAGGCAAAGCAAGCAUAUUAGGGGCUGCUAGCAUUGGAAAGGGCCUUGGAGGGAUGUUGUUCUCGAGAUUUGGACGCUCAUCUACAUCACAGCCAUCUGAGACAUCAAAAGACUCAAUAGAAGACGAGAAGAAGUCACUUGGCUCGCUUCCCACUACCACUGUUGCAACACAGACCCUUCCACAUAGCAGUUCUGGCUUUCUGGAUUCUGCAUAUUUCAGACUUCAGGAAUCGUUCUUUAAUCUCCCACAACUUCUUUUUCCGGAAAAUGUAAUGCAGAAUAAAGAUAAUACCCUCGGUAUGGUAUAUGUCAGGAAUAGCACUCAGAGUACAAUAAAAAUGAUCCACUUAUAGGUCUUCUGCUCACUGAAAACUUGCAUCAGUUCUUCUAUGAGAUCAGCUUGAAUGUUAACCAUUACAGACCAUUUGAUAUGUAAUUUUUUCCUGUAUAUUCUAACCUUAAAUAGUAGGGGUCCUGAAACCCAAGUAUCGAUUAGUCCCUUAGUGUGCUAAAAUGAUACUCCUGUACAUUCCUACAAAGAAGCAACCUUUUGGAGAGGGAAGAAAAGCAUGAGGUCAUCUUCCUCCUUUAUUGUCCCAAAGGCUGCAAAGAGGUUCACUGUUCUUUACAUGUAAGACAUUUAGAUAUAAAGUCUCAUAGUGUAAGAAAUGUAAUUAUUCCUAGGUAUUUCAGGUAUCAGUACCGCUACUACUUAGGGCUGUGCGUGUGCCCUAGCUGCUGCUAUCUGGUUUCAACACAAAUAUUUUUUUCUUUAAGAAGGGUAGGUUUGCAUUUAAAAAUUAGCAUUAUUGGAUACAAGAGAUAUUUUCAGUCUCUUAAUUUUUAGCAGAUUCUAAAUGUACCACUAAGGAUUAAUCUUAGUUUAAAAUCAUUUUUAUCAUUAACUUUCCUUCCUUUUUCCACAGCUCCUCUCCUUUUCCUUUUUUUUUUUUUUUUUUUUUUUAAUAUUGGAUUUUGUCUUUAACAAAAAAUGUUACAGGUUUUUCCUUGGAUUUUUAACCACAUUUAAUUUUACAACUUCUCUAUGUAAUUGCUAAUUUCCAUACAUAUUUUUUCUGUUUUCAAAAAAACUUCCUUGAUAAAAAUUCCAAAACAGUAUUUUAAUAUAACAAACUGAUUUGUGUUUUUAUGCUCCCUAGCAACAGUUUGUUUUGAUGAAACUUCAUGAAUUUCCCUUAAGGAAUGAUCUUAUAUAAGUGCUCUCUCUGCCCCCUGCUUAUGUAAUAGUUAGUCACAUCCAUGAAGAAAUUAUUUGACUUUGGUUUUUGCAUAUUUAAUUCAACACAGAAGUUAAUCCACUCAUUUAUCCUGCGUUCAAGUAGCCCUUACACGUAUUAUCUUAAAACCAUCUCAGCUAUCUAAACAUUAACUACACCAAACUGAUUCAAAUGGUAAUGUGUGUAUGGCUUCUAUUUUAUUUCUCUUCCCCUACUUUUUUGCAUUUAACAAUUAUUUAUUAAAUGUUUACCAUGAGCCAAAGUACCAAGAUAGCCACUAGAAAAGAUACCAAAAUGAAACAGACUUCAGUACUGCCCAUAAAGAUACUAAAUGCUAGUGUGGAAAUUGAGCAUUUUCUAGAGAAUAUAUAUUUACCUAGUAGAGAAGUAGAUUGCUACAUAAAUAUUUAUAACAUAUGGUAGAUGUGAUGAGCCACAUAACAAAGGUACUGGUAAAGGACUCCGUCAGUUCUAGGGAAUGAGAAAAUGCUUUCACCUCGAAAAAUUAUAAAAGGCUCUGUGGAGGUAGAAUUUGGACACACGGUGAUGAAAAGACAUUGCAGGGAGAAGAAACAGCAUACGGAAAAGCACAGGGUAUGUAGAGGUAUGUAUGUAUGUAGUUAGUUUUCUUGAGAAGAGCCAAGGAUGAAUAGAAGGGAAUAGUUCUGAAUGUGAUUGGAAAAGUUUCUUAAACCAGAUUGUAGAGGGCCAUCUCCUGGAGUUUUUUUGUAUUCAAGAUUUACCCACAAAGCCCAUCUGUUAUCAAACAUUAGGUAUUUGAAUAUCUUUCAGGACAGAUUAGUGUUGGGAAAUUAUUUUGGCAGAUAUGAAAACUGAAUAUAAUAUCAAGGACAGAGAAUAUCCUCAAAUAUAUUUGAAAUUAUAACCGUUCACAAAAUGUAAAUAUUCCUUGAUGUCAAACACCUAACCACAUGAAAUGUAUAGUUGCUCUGAGGCAACGCAGAAAUAACAAGACAUAAUUUACCCAGUAAGAACUCAGCAUAAUCUUUUUUACUAUGAAAGAAGCUUUUGCUAGUCAUUUGAAAACACAACUUGCUUUACUGGUAUUUUUCUUGGUGUCUGCUGUAGCCAAAAAUCAUGCAAUUAUGACCAAAAUUAAUACUUACAAAUAAGACCACUUUUAAGAUUCAUUAAGUUUUUGAAAAUUUCUCUCCAAGGAAGUUAAAGCCAUUAAGCAAUAGAAACCUGUCCAAUUCGUACACAUUUUAAGACUAAGAUGUGCACUUCCUAUUCACAUGUGUUAUGUUUUCUAAUACAGUAUCCAUGUGGACAAGCCUUGUGCAGAGAAUUCUCUGAUGAAAGCACAGUCCUGAUGACACUUCACUCCUACAUACUUCAUACACUGCAAACAUUCUCUCUGGGGAAUAGGAAGGGAACUAGGCCUCUGUGCCAGACUCCCCAGAAAAGAAAAUAACCCAUGCUUUAAGGCAGUAUAAGGCAACUGCUGAUGAUUGAUAAGAUCCCACAGUAUUUUUUCUCAGUUUCACUUCUCUUCAGUUCAGGAUCUCAUUCCUUUCUUUGUGGAUAGAGGAAUUCUAGCACUUAAGGCACUCAAAAGAGAGAAAAAAGGGACAGAGUGAUGAUAUUAUGUUUUCCUUUCUCUUUGACCUAAUUCAGUGAGUAAAACUAGGAAAAAACUACCCGCUGUGUUGUGCCACUCAUUUUUGAUGUGCUAAUAUUAAGAAAAUAGGUCCAAGGCAACUCCAUAUAGAUUUAGGCCUAUUUGGACCAAGAGCUCAUCUCACGGCACAUAAAGAAUGGUAACUGCCAUCUAGACCCUUGCUCCCUUGGGAAUCCUGUGACCUACAUAAAAGGAAGAGAUGUGAGAUGUAGGCCCACCUUAUUCCAUCCAUCCGCCUGCAGAACCAGCACCUGUGAGGUCACCUGCACUGGCAACCACACUACCUGUUGUAAACCUUGGAAGGAGGAUGAGAGACUAAAACAGAUUCAUCAGUGGAAUUGGAUCACAGAAUUGACUUUGAACUCCGAGAAGGCCUUGUGGAAAGCCGCUAUUGGUCAGCUGUCACAUCUCAUACCGCCUAUUGGUCAUCCUUGGAUGUUGCCCUCUUUCUUUUAACCUU
This is an RNA transcript of Prionailurus viverrinus (fishing cat), 5829 nucleotides long. It is a transcript of the gene named DDHD domain containing 1, with no coding region annotated. Lineage: Eukaryota; Metazoa; Chordata; Mammalia; Carnivora; Felidae. The record is from RefSeq and is a predicted model, not a curated record. The transcript has 14 exons.